AAGCGCUUAUGACCAGACUUGGACUUGGUUGAUCAUCCUGGGUUCUCCCUGGUGCACUCUUCCAGUUCAGGCCAGCAUCAGUUUGCUUCGGGGGAUAAAGGUUUCGGGAAUGUGGCUCCUCCGGGAGUGUUAUAGCCCGUUGCGCAAUACCCUGGAGCAGACUGAGGUUCGCGCAUCUGCAAGGAUGCUGGCGUAAUGGUCAUCAGCGA
RNAcentral lists this ribosomal RNA (209 nucleotides) under Gliocephalotrichum longibrachium. RNAcentral describes it as "partial large subunit ribosomal RNA". The record is from RNAcentral. Lineage: Eukaryota; Fungi; Ascomycota; Sordariomycetes; Hypocreales; Nectriaceae.